AGUGAACGCUGGCGGUAGGCCUAACACAUGCAAGUCGAACGGCAGCACAGUAAGAGCUUGCUCUUACGGGUGGCGAGUGGCGGACGGGUGAGGAAUACAUCAGAAUCUACUUUUUCGUGGGGGAUAACGUAGGGAAACUUACGCUAAUACCGCAUACGACCUACGGGUGAAAGCAGGGGAUCUUCGGACCUUGCGCGAUUGAAUGAGCCGAUGUCGGAUUAGCUAGUUGGCGGGGUAAAGGCCCACCGAGGCGACGAUCCGUAGCUGGUCUGAGAGGAUGAUCAGCCACACUGGAACUGAGACACGGUCCAGACUCCUACGGGAGGCAGCAGUGGGGAAUAUUGGACAAUGGGCGCAAGCCUGAUCCAGCCAUACCGCGUGGGUGAAGAAGGCCUUCGGGUUGUAAAGCCCUUUUGUUGGGAAAGAAAAGCAGCAGGUUAAUACCCCGCUGUUCUGACGGUACCCAAAGAAUAAGCACCGGCUAACUUCGUG
This 492-nucleotide ribosomal RNA is filed under the name uncultured bacterium. RNAcentral's name for it is "partial 16S ribosomal RNA". It matches the Rfam family "Bacterial small subunit ribosomal RNA", at positions 29 to 507 of the family's 1533-position model. The record is from RNAcentral.